Anolis carolinensis (green anole) is the source of this 2032-nucleotide long non-coding RNA. NCBI's taxonomy places the organism in Eukaryota, Metazoa, Chordata, Lepidosauria, Squamata, Anolidae. The record is from Ensembl.
UAUAUCUGAGAGAUGUACCGAGCCAAACAAGAACGUCUGUAUGGAUAAAACCUUGAACUCUGUAGGAAAGGUUCUAUACAAAAAAGAGAGAAGGAGAGGGAGGAAAAAGUGCCAAAGCCAGCACUUUGAAAAAAAAGAAGACUGUAAGUAAUCACUUAAAGAAGAAGAAAAAAGCUUCACAGUUGGGCUCAUCCACUCUGCCCUGCUGCUCUUCAGUCAUCUCUAAGCCGGCUCCAGGUGAGAUGCGCCAUGCUAGCAGAUGACGCCCUUCUCUCCAUCUGGGAUGAGAAACAAUCAGGACCAGCUAACACCUGCCAACCAAGGAUUCCCUCAGUUCAGCUGAAUAAAAGGCUUCUUGGAGAAACACAUGGAAAACAAAGAAGGUACAUAAGCAGUGACUGCAGCACUAUGAAAUUAAAGACAAUUCAAUCCAACUAUGGAAGAACAGAUGGCUGGCUAUGGAAGCAACAGAAGAGGCUCCCCUUUGCAAUGAGCAUCCACCACUGGAUAGUAAAUUUAUAAGAAUUUUUUUACUAGUAAAACUUGAAAGCUGAUCAUAAAACACAAGGAAAAGGAUGUAGAACAAGCCUGAUGUUCACUUCCCCCUCCUGCUUGCCUGUCAACUGAUGAAGCCAAGUGUCACCUUACAGACAACUUAAUCCCUUUGGUCAUGCUUCUCCCUUAAGCCAAGGCCACUUGGACUGCAACAGAAGUUUGACAGCUUUGGCUACGUCAACAUCACACCUUGCACAGACAUUGACUCUGGGGAUGGUUAAUUGACCCCAGCAUGGGACCCCUGCACCUGGAACUCCCCCAGACCUCCCUGCUCUGAUGGAUGUUUUGAUCUCUGUAUUUUCCACAAGUUUCUUUACUACAUCAGGCAGAUUGACUUGAUUUUAUCUGGAAAGGUGCCUCUGUUUUCAGUGUAGCUUGCAAAAAUAAGUAAAAUAAAUAACGUACAGCAAAGUAAGCUUUCCUACCUGUUCUUUCUUCCUCCAGACAUAAGCUGGUCCCUGGCCCCUUCACCAAUAUCAUAACUCUGAAGCCAGCAGCUGCCCGCAUUUACCUAGAGAUGUUAAAUCCAGCAGGAAAUGCCAUCACACUUACAAAACUAUUACACCCUGUGGCGAUCAAUAUAAUAUUGGCGUCACUUUCCCAGAGCCCAGUAGCAUGCUGAUGGCUAAGAACAGCCUUAACUGCCCCACGCGGAAGGACCUGGACCGCCAACCAGACACGCUCAGAAAUAGAAGUUGGGCCAGGUGAACGGAUUGAGUGACAGCCAUCAUUCUUGGGAGUUUGGGCAGCUGGCACCCCCAACUGCGCGGCAGCCGCCAGUCACAUGUCUGCACAUGAUUCCCAUAGAAUUGGAGCCACUGGAUGGAAAGUUGCAAUAUGACACACAUCUCUUUGACCUUGGCUGUGGGAACAGCACAAUAGUGACCAGUUCUGGGGCUGUUCUGGAAUGGAUCCAUCAAGCGACUAUCUGAGCACAUCUAUUACUGAUAUACUACAAUUAGGAAAGUGGGAAAGUUGAAAGGCAUAAAUACCAGAUGAGGUGAUUGAUAAAAGCUGCAACACAGCAGUAACAGCGUGGCAAAGAGGCUGACCUAGUGCAUGUCCAACAGAAAGCUAUAUAAGGUCACAAACUUACCACAAGUGAGUCAACCCCAUCAAGGGAAUGCCUUGGAAUAUAACCAAAGAGUAAAAAUGUACUCUCUUGCUCAAGAUCAUAAAAAAACAUCAUGAGUAUGCUCUGGAAUGAAUGCAAAAAGCACAUAUGUCUAGAGACCUGCUCCAUUGCAUAAGCCUGAUGUCAUAGUCUCACAAGGAUGACCAUACAUACAGAUAUAUAAAAUUUGAGCAGCAAGCCCAGUAUGCAAACAGGUGAACAGCAUUUUAUUUAGAUGUUUCAACCUACCUCCUGGACCAAGCUCAGAAAAGAAAUUCAGUUAUACGAGUAUCUUGUUCAAAGAUGGCAUAUGAGAACACAAAUGGUGUUGCUUAGCAUGAAUUGGUUGGAAAUUGGUGACAC